This 88-nucleotide transfer RNA is filed under the name Legionella israelensis. It matches the Rfam family "tRNA". From Rfam's summary of the family: Transfer RNA (tRNA) molecules are approximately 80 nucleotides in length. Their secondary structure includes four short double-helical elements and three loops (D, anti-codon, and T loops). Further hydrogen bonds mediate the characteristic L-shaped molecular structure. tRNAs have two regions of fundamental functional importance: the anti-codon, which is responsible for specific mRNA codon recognition, and the 3' end, to which the tRNAs corresponding amino acid is attached (by aminoacyl-tRNA synthetases). tRNAs cope with the degeneracy of the genetic code in two manners: having more than one tRNA (with a specific anti-codon) for a particular amino acid; and 'wobble' base-pairing, i.e. permitting non-standard base-pairing at the 3rd anti-codon position. The record is from Rfam by way of RNAcentral. Lineage: Bacteria; Pseudomonadati; Pseudomonadota; Gammaproteobacteria; Legionellales; Legionellaceae.
GGAGAGAUGGCUGAGUGGUUGAAAGCGCGCGCCUCGAAAGCGUGAAUACGGUAAUGCCGUAUCGAGGGUUCAAAUCCCUCUCUCUCCG